GAUGAACGCUGACAGAAUGCUUAACACAUGCAAGUCUACUUGAAUUUGGGUUUUUUAACUUCGAUUUGGGUGGCGGACGGGUGAGUAACGCGUAAAGAACUUGCCUCCCAGCUAGGGACAACAUUUGGAAACGAAUGCUAAUACCUGAUAUUAUGAUUAUAAGGCAUCUUAGAAUUAUGAAAGCUAUAUUCGCUGUGAGAGAGCUUUGCGUCACAUUAGCUCGUUGGAGAGGUAGCGGCUCACCAAUGAGAUGAUGGGUAGCCGGCCUGAGAGGGUGAACGGCCACAAGGUGACAGAGACAGGACCCUUACUCCAACGGGAGGCAGCAGUGGGGAAUAUUGGACAAUGGACCAAGAGUCUGAUCCAGCAAUUCUGUGUGCACGAUGACGUUUUUCGGAAUGUAAAGUGGUUUCAGUUGGGAAGAAAAAAAUGACGGUACCAACAGAAGAAGUGACGGCUAAAUACGUG
This 468-nucleotide ribosomal RNA is filed under the name uncultured bacterium. RNAcentral describes it as "partial 16S ribosomal RNA". It matches the Rfam family "Bacterial small subunit ribosomal RNA", at positions 28 to 507 of the family's 1533-position model. The record is from RNAcentral.